RNAcentral lists this ribosomal RNA (491 nucleotides) under uncultured bacterium. RNAcentral's name for it is "partial 16S ribosomal RNA". It matches the Rfam family "Bacterial small subunit ribosomal RNA", at positions 29 to 507 of the family's 1533-position model. The record is from RNAcentral.
AGUGAACGCUGGCGGUAGGCCUAACACAUGCAAGUCGAACGGCAGCACAGUAAGAGCUUGCUCUUACGGGUGGCGAGUGGCGGACGGGUGAGGAAUACAUCGGAAUCUACUUUUCGUGGGGGAUAACGUAGGGAAACUUACGCUAAUACCGCAUACGACCUACGGGUGAAAGCAGGGGAUCUUCCGACCUUGCGCGAUUGAAUGAGCCGAUGUCGGAUUAGCUAGUUGGCGGGGUAAAGGCCCACCAAGGCGACGAUCCGUAGCUGGUCUGAGAGGAUGAUCAGCCACACUGGAACUGAGACACGGUCCAGACUCCUACGGGAGGCAGCAGUGGGGAAUAUUGGACAAUGGGCGCAAGCCUGAUCCAGCCAUACCGCGUGGGUGAAGAAGGCCUUCGGGUUGUAAAGCCCUUUUGUUGGGAAAGAAAAGCAGCAGGUUAAUACCCCGCUGUUCUGACGGUACCCAAAGAAUAAGCACCGGCUAACUUCGUG